This is a non-coding RNA of Paramuricea clavata, 604 nucleotides long. The record is from the annotation of a GenBank genome assembly. Lineage: Eukaryota; Metazoa; Cnidaria; Anthozoa; Malacalcyonacea; Plexauridae.
UAUAUGAGCGGAACUGAUGUACUGAUGCGCAGAACGGACUUGACAUGGUCUUUAAUUUAUUUAUUAAUUUUUGUUAUCUCUUCUUGAUACUAACGUGUUGAAGAGUAAUAAAGUAGAAGUAUAGAAGGUAGACUUUGUGUUAAUAUCACAAUGAAAUGCAUUUAAUUUCAUAUAGCUAAUAUUGUUUUGAUGAAUUAGUUGUUUUGUGUUUUAAAUAAUUGUUAACGUUUGGCAGGCAUAAUUAUUUAAAAUAGUACAAUUUAUUAUGUACAGUUUGUUAUGUUCUAUUACAUGAACACACAACUUGUGUAUUUACAUGAUAGUGUUGUUAAUAGUAUACAAUUAGGGCAGCUCAUGGUUGUCAGAAGCAGAACAAAAUUGUCCUACACAGGAUGUAAAUUUUAAUAACUGAGAAAUGUAACAGUACAGAAUAAUUGUGAACCCAGUGACAGUGUUAAAAUAGGCAAAGAGCCAGAUUGAUUUGAGUGAAAAAGGCUUGGUCUGGUUUUUGGUUGUCAAAUUGGCCGAGUACGCCAAUCAGGCUAAAGCCACUGUCUGAAAUUAGUUGGGUGCACUUACUACAUUAAGACGGAUUUAAUACCUA